AAAGUGGAUUAGCGACGGACGGGUGAGUAACACGUGAGUAACCUGCCUUAGACAUUGGGAUAGCCUCGGGAAACCGGGAUUAAUACCAAAUAAAAUCAUAAUGACACAUGUCAUAACGAUCAAAACUCCGGUGGUCUAAGAUGGACUCGCGUCCCAUUAGCUAGUUGGUAGAGUAAAAGCCUACCAAGGCGACGAUGGGUAGCCGGCCUGAGAGGGUGAACGGCCACAUUGGAACUGAGAAACGGUCCAA
Molecule: ribosomal RNA, 250 nt
Filed under: uncultured Eubacteriales bacterium
Lineage: Bacteria; Bacillati; Bacillota; Clostridia; Eubacteriales
Description: uncultured Clostridiales bacterium partial 16S ribosomal RNA
Rfam family: Bacterial small subunit ribosomal RNA
Source: RNAcentral